Molecule: ribosomal RNA, 459 nt
Filed under: uncultured bacterium
Lineage: Bacteria
Description: bacterial SSU rRNA
Rfam family: Bacterial small subunit ribosomal RNA
Source: RNAcentral
GACGACUGGCGGCGUGCUUCAUACAUGCAAGUCGAACGAGAAGCUAGAGCUUGCUCUAGUGGAAAGUGGCGGACGGGUGAGUAAUAUGUAGGAAAUCUGCCCCUAGAGAGGGGGGACAACAGAAGGAAACUUCUGCUAAUACCCCAUAUGAGCUUGGUUGAAAUACCAAUCUUGAAAACUCCGGUGCUCUAGGAUGAGCCUGCACCUGAUUAGCUUGUUGGUGGUGUAAUGGACUACCAAGGCGACGAUCAGUAGCUGGUUUGAGAGGAUGAUCAGCCACAAUGGGACUGAGACACGGCCCAUACUCCUACGGGAGGCAGCAGUAGGGAAUUUUGCGCAAUGGGCGAAAGCCUGACGCAGCAACGCCGCGUGUGUGAUGACGCCCUUCGGGGUGUAAAACACUGUCAGUAGGGACGAAUUUUGACGGUACCUACAGAGGAAGCACCGGCUAACUCCGUG